Molecule: long non-coding RNA, 7287 nt
Filed under: Pomacea canaliculata
Lineage: Eukaryota; Metazoa; Mollusca; Gastropoda; Architaenioglossa; Ampullariidae
Description: uncharacterized LOC112565693, transcript variant X3
Source: RNAcentral
UGGAUAUAAUUUUGUUUAACACACUGGUCUUUUAAGGAAACACAUAAUAAUCUGUAGUAAGGAUGGCAGCAAAUCCGAAUCUCUAAUACGUCAGGGAAGCCGACUACCCUACAUGUGACUACGUCUUGUAUACACUUGCCUACGUCGCGGCGUGUACCUUUACUCUUGGCAGGAAGUUUGUAUGGAUCUUUACAGAUCCCUGGCCUGGCCUUUGCUCAACCAAUGACGUAGAGCGCACCUUUCCAUGGUGCCACCCACUCCCAUACUCGUCGCACUAGCACUCAAUCUCAAACUCUGUUAAUAUAAAUAACCGUUACCGGCCAGUGCUUCACUUCCCACAGAGACGGCAAGUGCUGAAACACUGCGUGUGAAGGAGUGAAGUCUAUGUCUUCUAAGUAACCACACUUCUUUGUAUCUCGGAUUUUGUAGAAUGUAUUCGAACUUUAGUAUUUUAUUCCACGUAAAUAACUUUGAUAACUUAUUAAUAGGAGCAACAAAUCAUUGUUGAAACAAACCCAGAAAAUGCAAACUGUGAAGGCUUUGUCAAAUAAGCAGGCUUCAAUGUAUUUGAUAUUGCGAGCCCAGGAGUCUGCAUUAUUCAGAAAAAGAGGAUGUGGUCGCCCGUCUCUAAGAGGCAGUGUCUUUGGUCACAACAUCUGUCCCGAAGAGGUGGCUUCUUUGUAUGUGAUACUCGUGGGAAAAUAUAUAUUUGUGAACUCGGAGAACGUCAGUCCCUAAUGACUACAACUGUGUCGUAGGAGAAUGGGCUCCACUAUAUUAAAAUCUGGACCUUCGCACACACACACACAGAGUCUGAUAUUUUUAGGCGGUGAGUAGGAAUAAUAAUCCUCUGCAAACUCUUUUUUUUUAAUAAAUACAUAAAAUGUCAAGAUCUUAAUUUGGUGUUUAUGAUAUUACCGUUCUAUUUUUCAGCACUUUGUAUGGACCAACUGCUUUUCACACACAGAAGCGUUAAAUAUAGUGACUAAAUCCGUAUUCAGUAACGAUUAUUAUUGUUAUUAUUGUUAUUAAUUGUUAUGAUUAUUGUUAUGAUUAUUGUUAUGAUGAUGAUGAUUAUUAUUAUUAUUAUUAUUAACGGUAGCUAUUUCGUAUGCCAUUUGUGAUGGAUGCCAACUGGACGGCGAUAAGACAAAAGACAACGAGAUAUCGGGAGGUAACUUCCUUUUAGCAUGUUUUGUAAAUCUUCAGUAUUGCGGUCAAACGUCAACAAGUAUUGUUGCUACAGAACCGGGUAAAAGACUAUACUACAACAAUAGCUUAAGAAAUCAAUCGUGAUAACCUUCAGAAAGACAUUUUGUGCAUACACACAUAUAUAUAUAUAUUGCUUUUAUCUAGCAAUAAACAACAAGCACACGGAUUCAAAACACAAAAAAACCAUUUUUUAUUUCAAAAUAUCCUUGUUUACUAAGCAGUCACAGAGUUUUUCUUUAGGAGUAUUACCUUUGGUUUUGACUUAUUGCAGGGGGCAUUUUUAGGCUCGUAUAAAUUGGUUGUGCCAAUAAUGUUUUCUUAUUGUUUAAAACAAAAUGUUACUUGAGCUUCAACAUACUCACAGAAGACUCGGCAGGCUAUUACAAGUACUUAUUUUGAACACUUUUUUUCUGUACCUUACUCACACUUAGCCAAAAUUCCAAAAUGUGUAAGUAAACUCCACACAACGCAAUACUUCGGAGCUAAGAGACUCACGACGGUCUCCUAUUUCGUUUUGAAUAUAGUCAUGCCCGCGCAAGUACCUGCUUGGGCACCGAUGGAACAAAUACAACUAUUGCGAUUUUCUCUUUUUCACAUGUUCACGCAGUGAGUAGGUGGUGAAGGUAUAUCGUGAAUGUCGAAUGUGCCUGGGUGAGUGCGUCUGUUCGUACGUGCGUGUGUCCAUAAUCACACAAGCUUCAGUAUAAGUAAAGAAAGAAGGCAUGCAAUAAUGAAAAGAGAACCAUGACAAGACGUUGAACAACAGUUGACUUUGUUGACAAGCAAGUUUGUUUUCAGAAAUUGUGUGAGUAGAACGGGCGUGCAGCCUCAAUCUUUGCCUUAGUAACUUCGUAAGAAAUAGAUAUUUGAGGUAAAAUAUUUUCGUCGGACACAAAGAUAAAUUAAUGAUUGUGCGCUUGCAUGUCAAAAGUCAAUAAAAACAACAAAGUCGCUACCAAGCCUCUGCUGGCUGAAAACAAUCAGGUUAUUGCCUGCGCGAAACAUCUGUAGCUAGAAUGUUUACUCAAGGCCUAAUUACACGCUCCACUUAUUGGAAUCAGUUUUUCAGAAACCGCGUUCUCAGAAACCGCGUUCUCAGAAAUCAAAAUUUGGGGAAGUUUGGGUGUGUGUGGGGGUAGGGGGGAAAGAAAUAUAAAUAGUGACACAGUUUCAUCGGAAACGAACUUCGAAGCAAAGUCAUGAAAAUCUUCAGCGUGAGAAACAAGAUUCAAGGUUACCUUGGGAAGGAAGCGUCUACUACUUGAUUCCCAGCGCUCACUUACAGUGCUGACGUGUUACCUGUACCAAGGUACACAGAAUCGUCGGUCCGAUGAGAGUUGGAAAAAUUUUCAGGACAGGAAAUGCCUGUCUUCAAGAAGGAUUUGUGACACUUUCAGAAGUUUCUGCAUGUUAUGCAGUCUGAAUACCAAUCCAGGCUGUCGCAGUGACUUUGGAGCAGGUGGACAAAACAAGAUGGCACCCACGAUUUAGAUGAAAUGGGAAAUUCAUCACCACCACCACAACAGCCUCCGCCGCAAGUAUGUAAAAUGAUCAGUGAAGAAUCUGUAACAGUUGAGACUUGUGGGGAAAAAUAUAACAAGUCAUGCAAGUAUUCAAUCGAAGCAGACCGUGAUGUGAUCAAGAAAGUUGUAGACGAAAAAUCAAAGCAGGAAGUAAAACAAAUGAAGAUAGCUUUGUCUUCGACAGUAAGUUUGAGAGAAUAACACGAUCCUGGGUAACGUCCCGACGACAUCAAGAACACUGAAAACAUGGCAAAUGGAGAGCCUGCUGGUGUUUAUGAUAGCGUAUAUCUGCAGAUUCAUCUUCAGAAUGCCUAACAUACCAAAAUUCUUAACCGACUGUUGGUGUACUUUGUCGAAGUUGGGAAAAGAAAAGGUUUCUAAUGGAGUUCAUCCAGAAGAGCACCGAGAGGAUCCCCCACAAGUUCAUUCUAAAUUUGAAUGCGAAGAAACGAUCUCUAUAGUAAAGAAAGACGGCUCAGAGUACACGGGAUACAAGUCUCAGGUGAUAGAGGAUGGUCAGCUGAAGAAGUUUAGCCAUGGCUUUAAAGUCUAUAGCUCGACAGACAACCCCCAAGGUGAGCGCCAAGAGCACUCCCAACACUACCAUUACGACGCCGGAGUAGAGAACAAUAACGUCAAAAGUGUGGUGAAUGAAUUUCAAUAAAGAGCUUAAGAACAGAAAACUCAGUGUUUUGUGCAAAAAUAUAGAUUGCUGACCUCUAAAACAUAUUCAGUGUGGAGACACAAAACAGAAAAUUGCAGAAGAACUAGUUUUAUAGACGCUCCACGAUGAAGAAAAUGGAGUAGAAAACAUAAAAAAGCGAAUUGCAUCACUAUGGAAGAGACAUAUAGACAAAAUUUUCGUGUAUUAGUGUAAAAUCCCUUGAUGUAUACCGAAUCCAUUAGAAAUUGUUGUACAGUAUAACCUAACGGUAGUCUUCUUUCACAUGGAGCACGAAAACUGGAUUCGGUUACAAUGGCAUAUGCAAGUACGCACAACAUCAGGGGAUCAAGUUGGCAGCAAGAAGUCAAGUAUCACAGGAAGUAAAAAUGUUGUGAAACUUAUUUGUUGCCACAUACUACAAAAUGCUUUUGAUAGCAUUGUGAAAGGUAUGGCUAUCCCGAUAGCUAUGCCUGAAAAUAUUUAUCAGAUGAUUCAGAAUGCUGCUGAGGAGUUCAACCUGUACGACACACAGGUUAUCAUCUUUGAGGUUCUCAUUGACUGUACACGAAAUGCGAUAGCUUUGGUUUUGACCAAAAAGAUGGCGUUCAAUGGUCUUGGUGUCGACGAUGUAGAAAAACUGACAAACCUGGAACUUAACAGAAUUGAAAGACAAUGUCAAGACGUUAUUGUAGCUUUGCAGAAUUCAAGAGCGGUCACCCAGUGAGCGCGAGCAGAGUGGUGAUCACUUAACUCUGAGAGCUUAAUUAAGCACACUAACACAAGCGGUGAUAGUAAGGACUCUUGCUAAAUUCAUCUAUCUACCUAGCAAUGUGGUCUAUAAGCUACUCGAAUUUAUGAAAGUCUUCUGCACAGUAUAUAUUACUGUAAAUUCUAUCUGCAACUGCACGCCAGCUUUAAUUUGUUAAAACAGACAACACCUGUCUCUUGCCAGUUUGGUGUAGUUAGGAGAAGGUGUUCCAAAGCUGGCUACAUUACACCAAAAGAGCAGAUUCCUCGAUCAGGUACUAUUAUAUAGAAUGGUAAUGUUAGUGUCCAUUGAGUAAACACUUUUGAGAUCAACUAUGGGAUAUGUUAAAUAACCAGAACUAUUCAGAGGAAAUUAGGAUCUAUGAAGAAAUUGUUUCGUUUGGUAUUCGUAGAACUGAAGGGAUGGCAAACCUUUGUACUUUCUUAUUCUUCUAGCAAAAUUUUUUUAUUUAUAGAUGCAGAUUUCUGAAGACAAUACCAACGGUGAAUAAGUUUAAGCCAUUUUAAAAGUCACGAUAUAUUGGGGAGCAAUAUACGGCAUUUACCAAUGGCUCAGAGAUAUCCUUUCGGAAACAGUGGCUCCCGUGUAGUCGUAUCAUUUCUUAAAUAAUAUUAUUAUUUAUAUAAAAGCGGGGACGUUAAAGUAACUUAGGGGAGCCUCGAGACAACUGCAGCAUACAGCAAAUGUUAAAACUUUAUUUGAUUUGUGUAAGUUUGCCUAUACUGUAGCAGAUGGAUUACCUUGUUACUUGUUAUUUCUAUUACCUUGUGUGUAUAUUAUGUUGUUUACGUGUAUGUAGAUUGCUUAAAUGUUGAAUUAUUCUGCAUGCAAUUGUUUGUGUUGUACUUGUGUGCAUUGUGUAAUAAUAAUUAAAAGUAAGAAAAAAUUUAUUUCUGGCAUCUGAAACGUAAAAAAUACAUGUUGAACAAAUGUGAGAUUACCUCAUUUAAAACAGUUCAUUCAAAUAUUGCAGCAUCGAUAGAAAAUAGAAAAUUUUAAGGCACACCUCGAAAUGAAAAAGAUGUAAUCGCAAAACAACGGCUUCCCUGUGUGCAGCUUGUCACUUUGACAUAAAUAUUGACCAGGUUACCAGGUUCGUAAGAAAUAGAUAUUUGAGGUAAUGUAUUUUCGUCGGACACAAAGAUAAAUUAAUGAUUGUGCGCUUGCAUGUCAAAAGUCAAUAAAAACAACAAAGUCGCUACCAAGCCUCUGCUGGCUGAAAAGAAUCAGGUUAUUGCAUGCGCGAAACAUCUGUAGCUAGAAUGUUUACUCAAGGCCUAAUUACACGCUCCACUUAUUGGAAUCAGUUUUUCAGAAACCGCGUUCUCAGAAAUCAAAAUUUGGGGAAGUUUGGGUGUGUGUGGGGGUAGGGGGGAAAGAAAUAUAAAUAGUGACACAGUUUCAUGGGAAACGAACUUCGAAGCAAAGUCAUGAAAAUCUUCAGCGUGAGAAACAAGAUUCAAGGUAAGGCCCGCUAGACACAAAGAUAUUAAUUUUUCAGUGUUAUAAUUUUAAAAGAUUUAAUAAGUAUUUGAUUAUUGACAAUGCAAACAGUAGUUCAUUAUUUUUAUCACCCGAUAAUGGAAUAGACUAUUAUGUUUGGUGCAUGCUUUUGACAUUUAUAUUCUGCUUAGUUGUUACUGCUGCAUCUAGUAAAUGCAUUGUUGUGAAUAAGCAAACGUAAACAACAUAAUUUGAUUCUAUAAGAGCGAAACACAGACAGGCGCGGUAUGGAAAAAGCAGGAAGACACUGCCUGAUGCCAAGGAGCAGGGCAUCUGUUUUAUCAGGGCUCAACUUUAUUUUCUUUUUUGUCAGACAUUUCUGUGUGUCAGAAUAGCAGGUAGUGGUAAAAGACGGAAGAAGAUAAACUUGUCUAAUGGAUGUAAAAUAAUUUGUAGAUAUUUCUACCAUCUGAAUAUAUUUUACGAAACAGUACAACGUGUGAAGUAUUACACUCUACUCAGACACACCAAGUAUCACACAUGACUCAUGCCCUAUAAUUUAAACUCAGUAUUACAAAUAUGUUAUUCUAAUUAAGUAAAAGUAUAUACAUGAGCUUAAAAAUAUGUAUAUUUUUGUGGUAGAAUUGCUUUUAUUAAUAAUAUAUCUAGUUUAUGUUUGCUUUCCCUUAGUUUAAUUUGUGUGCGUUUUAAAUAUUGUUUGUUUGGCUUCCAUUUGCUCGUCUAUAUGAUGUUUCAAAAACGUAAAAAAAUUAUGACUAACAACAUUAAGCUUGAUCUUUGGUCAUUUAUUGUGAAUUACCACAUUCUAGAUCAUGUUUUCGUAUUAGCUACAUGUAUUCUUGAACCCUUAAUGUUUUACUUUAACUUUCAUUACUUGUAUUCUCUAACCUGUGACUUCGUGGCUGAAUGCGUUUUGUAUAAUGACAUGUUAUUGUUAGUUUUUGGUAACCUUCACUUUUCGUGCCUUUGGUCAGCGCAGAAUGCCACCUGUUUUGAUGGAGAUGCUGGACGAUAAAAGCACUAUCCUUAAUAAUGUAUUUACAUACUGCACCUAUAUUAAAGGACUUGUUUCUAAAGUAAUCCACAACAAUCAUCAGUAUUUGUCGGGAAUAUGGUAACACAAAAAUCCAGUAUAGCUGUUGAGAAGAAAUUACGCUCAUUGCAUAAAACAACAUAGAAUCAUUUUAUAUGAUGAAGGAAGCGUGACAGUAACUAUUAAAGAUAAACUCACAAUUGUAGGUGUUAAAGGGAGUCAUAAUAGUUUGAAUUUCGAAGUGUACAUACAUUUAUCUUGUUUUUGUGAAUUUUGUUUGCAUGGAAUUCUACUACAAAAUGUAGCUUCACUGUAUUUCGUACUUUAAAACGUAUUAAAAAAAUUCAAGACAGGUUAACGCGCAAACCUCACACACACACACGUAUAUAUAUAUAACGUACAGACAUACAUGCACUCACACAUACAUGAUCAUGUCCGCACACAUACGUGCAUACAUCCUGCAGACACCUGUUUUUUUAUAGACAUAUACAUAAAUAAUUGUACACAGAAUGCUUUAGUGUUGAGGAUAUGCUUAAGAUAUCAUUGGUUUUGAGAUGUGUUUUGGGGGAAUUGUAUUACGGCUAAUAUAAUUGUUAAUAAAGAGUGUUGCACAAUAUUCACA